UGGGGAAUUUUGGACAAUGGGCGAAAGCCUGAUCCAGCAAUGCCGCGUGUGUGAAGAAGGCCUUCGGGUUGUAAAGCACUUUUGUCCGGAAAGAAAUCCUCUGGGUUAAUACCUCGGGGGGAUGACGGUACCGGAAGAAUAAGCACCGGCUAACUACGUGCCAGCAGCCGCGGUAAUACGUAGGGUGCAAGCGUUAAUCGGAAUUACUGGGCGUAAAGCGUGCGCAGGCGGUUUUGUAAGACGGAUGUGAAAUCCCCGGGCUUAACCUGGGAACUGCAUUCGUGACUGCAAGGCUAGAGUAUGGCAGAGGGGGGUAGAAUUCCACGUGUAGCAGUGAAAUGCGUAGAGAUGUGGAGGAAUACCGAUGGCGAAGGCAGCCCCCUGGGCCAAUACUGACGCUCAUGCACGAAAGCGUGGGGAGCAAAACAGGAUUAGAUACCCUGGUAGUCCACGCCCUAAACGAUGUCAACUAGUUGUUGGGGAUUCAUUUCCUUAGUAACGUAGCUAACGCGUGAAGUUGACCGCCUGGGGAGUACGGUCGCAAGAUUAAAACUCAAAUGAAUUGACGGGGUCAUAGCUG
Molecule: ribosomal RNA, 580 nt
Filed under: uncultured bacterium
Lineage: Bacteria
Description: partial 16S ribosomal RNA
Rfam family: Bacterial small subunit ribosomal RNA
Source: RNAcentral